CAACCUGCCUAUCAGAGGGGAACAACAGUUAGAAAUGACUGCUAAUACCGCAUAUGCCUAAGUAUCACAUGAUACAAUAGGGAAAGGAGCAAUCCGCUGAUAGAUGGGCUUGCGUCUGAUUAGCUAGUUGGUGGGGUAAUGGCCUACCAAGGCAACGAUCAGUAGCCGGACUGAGAGGUUGAACGGCCACAUUGGGACUGAGAUACGGCCCAGACUCCUACGGGAGGCAGCAG
RNAcentral lists this ribosomal RNA (233 nucleotides) under uncultured bacterium. RNAcentral describes it as "partial 16S ribosomal RNA". It matches the Rfam family "Bacterial small subunit ribosomal RNA", at positions 122 to 354 of the family's 1533-position model. The record is from RNAcentral.